RNAcentral lists this ribosomal RNA (325 nucleotides) under uncultured eukaryote. Its description in RNAcentral is "partial 18S ribosomal RNA". It matches the Rfam family "Eukaryotic small subunit ribosomal RNA", at positions 1470 to 1796 of the family's 1831-position model. The record is from RNAcentral.
CCCUUAGAUGUUCUGGGCCGCACGCGCGCUACACUGAUACGCUCAACGAGCUCCUUGGCCGAAAGGUCCGGGUAAUCUUUGAAAUCGUAUCGUGAUGGGGAUAGAACAUUGCAAUUUUUGUUCUUCAACGAGGAAUUCCUAGUAAGCGCGAGUCAUCAGCUCGCGUUGAUUACGUCCCUGCCCUUUGUACACACCGCCCGUCGCUACUACCGAUUGAAUGGUUUAGUGAGGACUCCUGAUUGGCGCCGCCGCCCCGGCAACGGAGCAGCGGACUGCCGAAAAGUUGUUCAAACUUGAUCAUUUAGAGGAAGUAAAAGUCGUAACA